GAUGAAGAAACGUAGCGAAAUGCGAUAAGUAAUGUGAAUUGCAGAAUUCAGUGAAUCAUCGAAUCUUUGAACGCAUCUUGCGCUCCUUGGUAUUCUGAGGAGCAUGCCUGUUUGAGUGUCAUUAAAUUCUCAACUACACUGACUUUGAAUUGGUGUGGCUUGGAUUUGGGGGGAAAAUUGUUGUGGGCUUUUUGUAUAGUCUGCUCCCCUGAAAUUGAUUAGCGGUACCUUUGUGGAACUGUCUACAGGUGUGAUAAUUAUCUACAUCUUAGACAUCUGCUGGAAUGCUGCUUUCUAAACCUUACUUGUAUUGACAAUCUUGACCUCAAAUCAGGUAGGACUACCCGCUGAACUUAAGCAUAUCAAUAAGCGGAGGA
This 377-nucleotide unclassified non-coding RNA is filed under the name soil metagenome. RNAcentral's name for it is "partial contains 5.8S ribosomal RNA, internal transcribed spacer 2, and large subunit ribosomal RNA". The stretch from base 1 to 121 matches the Rfam family "5.8S ribosomal RNA", at positions 35 to 154 of the family's 154-position model. The record is from RNAcentral.